Long non-coding RNA from Gallus gallus (chicken), 8008 nucleotides. RefSeq lists it as uncharacterized. The record is from RefSeq and is a predicted model, not a curated record. The transcript is spliced from 7 exons. Lineage: Eukaryota; Metazoa; Chordata; Aves; Galliformes; Phasianidae.
GGGGGCAGAUGGGAGCAGAGCGGUCCGGUCCCAGGGCUCGCUCGGGAGCGCGAACGGAGAGAGAAGAGACAGCGUAGAGCCUGCGGGGGAGGAUAAUCGAGAGCUGUAGGUCUUGAUAUCGCUUCCCACUCUGAGCACGAGGAGGAGGCUCGGGAUGCCAAUCUGGUUCUCCAUGUCAUGGUACACGUGCGCCUGUGUUUCCGGAAGUAGUCUCUGAUUGUCGUGCACUCCUACGCCGCCGGUUCGCUAUUUUCUAUGGUUUUCAGUCCUCCGGAAGGUGAAACGCAUGCGCCCGGCAACACGGAAGUAGCGUCUUUCUGCAGGGACAGCUGUACACCAGCAGUACGCUGAUCUCUAUUGUACCCGGUCCUCCUGAUUGUUCUACGCAUGCGCACCGCAAUGCGCAGGUGCCGCCGCUCCGGUACGUGCAGUGCCGCAUGGCAGUCAGCGGGGAGCAGCGGAGAGCCGCUACGCAUGCGCAGUGUAUGACCUCCAGGAUGGUUUAGCACGCGUGCGCAAUUCACGUGGAGGACCGAUGACCAUAGAGCCUGCUGGAACCGGGGGCCUAGCGCGGCCUGCAGGAAGUCGCUGUGUUUACUUCCUGCUGCGUUGGGUUGCAGCUACGUGGCGGCGCGGCGGGCGCGAUGCGGAUCUUGAUGGUGAUGCUGCAGCCGAGGCCCUGUGAGCAGCAGUUACACUGCAGUACCCCUGCUACCCACAACGGCCUUCCAGUUAACUCUUCUCUGUAUUCUUAGAACGCUUCUUGGAGCAGUGCUGCAUCCAUCAGUGGUUUUUGUUCUCACAGCCAUGAACUCUGCAUGGGGAAGAACUGAUCAGUCUGCUCCAGUGGCUUGGCUGUAGAAGUGCUGAAAAGUCCUGCAAUCAUUUUGGAAGCCAGGGGCUUGCUGAAGAGUAUCUGAUACCCAUUGUGGAAGCUACAAAGCCUCAUCAUAACCUUGUUUGCACGUUUCCCACCUCUCCAUCUGUGGAACGUCUCUAAAACCACCAAUAUGAAUAAGAAGAUAAGUACCAACGUUACUUUGCAGCCUGAGCUCUGUACAGUCAGGCAGGAUGUUUUUAUUUGUUUCACACCAAGGAAAAAAUAACACCGGUGAACCUCCAGGUGGUUUUUGGCACAUCUGAAAGCUUCCCGUGGGCUCACCCAGCAGUCACGUGCAAUAGGGCACAAUGCACCACAGCACUGUGCAGGAGACACGCAGCCAAGAGCAACACUGCAGAACGCUUUCUGGGACAAAAUGACCUCACCAUAACGUUUGAACUGGGAUACACAAUUCCAGAGGCUUUGAUGUUAGUCCAGGCCAGGGGAUCCGAAAACAUAGUGUGAGUGUUGGGUUUUCCUGAUGAACUUUGCUAUCUAAGUGUUUUAUAGUUACUUUUUAUUCUUUGCAAUUAAAAUAACCAGGGAAAGAACCUUCUUUGUCUUUCUUUGUCCCUCGCUCAGUCUGUAGGGCAUUUUCACAUGCAAACAAAGUAUCACAACACUGCUCAAGUACUUCAACCUUCCUGGAAAAUAACACUUGAUGAGUAAGACACCAUUGAUUCUUUCAGUAGGGACUGUGAAAUAUGAGGAAUAAAGCACAGCAAGGCUUAUCACAGGAAGCAGGCAGAAAUGAAGGGACUCUGAGGGUGACCUGUCCUGCUUAGAGCACGGAGGCUGCUCCCAAAAAUGCCUGUGCAAGUACUAUGGCCUUGUCAGCAUUCUCUUUAGGUACUCAGCAGUUGCACCAAAUACAACAUCCCCUGUAAUGUAUUGCAUGGAUCCUAUCUGCAAUUGUUUAAACCUGGUGCUUUUUUAAAGACCAUUACCCUUUUUACCAAUUGCCUUCAGCACAACUGGCUCUUUAUGGCAUGUUUACAGUAUAUAUUAGAGAGAGCGGAGUGUGUAAAUUCCUCCCAUGCCGGCAGUGGUGGUCUGAUGCAGAACAGGCUGCCUCUGUGCAAAGGCUGCACAUGAAAAUAGCAGAGGGAAGACAACGUAUCCACAGUGGAUGAGCCUUUCUGAGUUGGGUGUACAUGCGUUCCAGAUGCAAGGAUGGCCCAACUGUUAGAAUACAUCGUAUGACAACGUCUUCUCACUGUAGCCAACAGUAGAGAGCACUCGUUUGUUCUAAAGAAAGCUCUGGAAAACACCCUUGUUCAUUUCUCUCCGAGAUCAUAAGAAAUCAAGAGGGUACAAAUGAACUGAGAAACCAUUUCAUGUCUAAUAGGCCACUCCUGUUCAGGUUGGGUGUUAGGGAGAUGCUGAAGAGUGGUGAGGUCGGAGCAGGCUGUGUGGGCAGGCAGUGGAAUCAGCCCCCCUGAAGUGCUCGAGAAGAGGGUUGUGUGGCUCUGAAGGCCGUGGUCCGGAGCGCUCACCGGCCUGCUAUUCUCACAGAGAUAAAGGAGGGCGAGAAGGAGAAAAUUCUGAAGCUAGAGAGCUCAAUUUUAAACCAGAAAUCUGAGCGAUUCUCUGGAGGGAAAAGAAAAGCAUUGCUUUCCCUUCAUAGCUCCCAAGUGAAACAUGAAAGCUGCGUGUCCAGCCAAGCGCUUGGGGUCUCCCGGCUGUGCCCGUGACGUUAACUCUCCAUGUUUACUGCAUGAGGAGAGCUCCCUGAGCGCAGCGUUACGCCCGAGCACGGUGUGCAGCCCGGGCUGCCCGGCUGGCAUCGCCCCGGCCCAGCGGGGCCCACGGAUGUGUGCGUGAGCAGCCACAGUCACACGGACACCGGCAGCCUCACAGCGAGAGCGCCGCAAAAUCCCUCGAUGACGACUGAAGCAAUUUCGGCUUUUAAAAAAAAAAAGAAAGCAGGCUUUGCCAAGCGUCCUUGUUUUGGACUUGCCUUGACCUCGCUCCCACCGGCCGCAGCUUUCUGCCCAGCAUCCCGGUGAUGGCCAGUGCUGCGGGCGUUUGCUUCUCGCACCGAUUCGCGGGGUGGAAGCGCUGCCUGCCCUCCCACCUCAGCUCCAGCAGCCCUCUGCUCGGGUUGCCCUGGAGACAAAGCUUCCUGUGCGUAAUCCAAGCUUAUCCAGCUCCUUAUCCUACAUGUGACCCUUAAUUACUUGCUAAAUUAGAAUGGUUUUCUGAAAAUCACAAGGGGAGGUUAAUAUGUUCUUCCAGAGCUGGUCAAGCUAAGAUGACACUAAAUUCACAGGGAAUUCAAAUUACAUGAUCCCUGAAGGCGUCUCUUUCAGAAGGAAGAUGAACUUUCCCAAUAGGAGGCAGUGUGCCAUGAUAAUGCUUCUGUCACUCACUUUCCUUGUCCUGCUUGUCUAGCUGCAGCCUAAUCUGCUAUGAACAAUGUAGUAAGUAAAUAUCAGGUUGAUUAAUUAUGGUGCGAGAUUCAGUAACUGCUUGUCUUCUAUAAUUAACACGGUCAUUGAAAUUAAGUAACACACUUCAUACGUGGAUUCCUGGACUAAAAGAAAUAACACGGGAGAAUCCUCAGGGCUGUCGCAGGGGAGGUGAGGGAAUAACAACAGAGGGUCAAAAUAUUAAUUAUCUCUUCAAAAUGACUGUACGUUUUAAGAUGUGCUUCACACGAGAAGGGACUUUACUGCUUCUGCAUGUCCCCACAGAGACAAAACAGAGUAGGUCUGUGAAAAUACUGCUUCUGUUUGCUGACAGCACGCCUUUCUUUCACCGCUGUGAUAGAUGGAAGCGGUCAGAACAGGCGCACAUCGCGCAGAUAUGCUCACCCACCUUCCUAAGGGCAAGCACGGAAGGAACUCUGAGCUCAUGUGGUCAGGACAGCCUGGAGGGGUUGCUCGCUUUCCCAGCGCUUUGAGCGCUUCUCCCAAAAGUUCUGAUUUUCACAGAAGCACAGAAGAAUACAGUUUCUGCAUUCAAACUAUGAGGGUGGAAAACAAAGUCACCCACAUUCAGUGAUUUCCCUCCGCCUUCGAGUCCCCCAUACAACAUUAGGAAAAAGCCAGGACCUUCCUGGGACCACUGCCUUCUUUGGAGAAGGGUCGGUUCAGAGGUGUGGGCCGGAUUUUCACACUCAUCACAGGAACCUCAUGGCUGCCAUAAGAAAACAGACUGAAUACCUAAAUAAAUGAAUGGGGAGCACGGGGUCUGGUGACACAGAUUCCCCUGGGAAUAAAAGAAAGAGGCAAUUACUGUUCUCUCUCAGUCCAGUGAGAACGUGUAAAGGAACCAGCAAAGUGUCACGUCUUCUGCUAUCCCCUCAUGUAGACCAGACCAGAGAAGUGUAGAAAGGAAGAAAAUGCUACCACUGAAAAUAAUCCUUUUAAGUGCUAGGCUACAAGGCUGCAGCAAGCUGUGAUUGGUUCCUCUCACAGCAAAACCAACAGGGGAACGAAGGUAUCUGAAUAAGAGAUCCCCUUCUAAACGUACCGAUUUUCUUGUGCCUUUGGAUUGACAUCACUACCAGGAAUGAAGAUAAUCAAUUUGAGGGAGGGGGAAUAUGCUAAACACUUGAGAUUGUGUCCAGCUCUUAAGAUACCUGCAUUCCUUGUUUAUUUCUUUGUUUUAUAUCCUUUUGAUCAGUAGCUUAGAAAAAGAACAGAAAAUAGUCAUACAAUAAUGCCUUGCAGCCUGUGGCAUAUUCCAUUUCAGGAUCCUAACAAAAGGUCUGUAGGCAUGUAAGAAUAGUUUCAGUCUAAGUUUAGUUCAGUCUGGAAAAGCUUUUUAGUUCCCUGUAAUAAAAUGGAGCAAAUUAGUUCGAACAAGAAAGAGUAACAACACAAGUAGUGCUUGAGGGAUCUAGGAAGGCAGGCAGCGAGAUCCUUCAGUUAGCCAAGUCUGGCAAUUAACUCACCAAUUAACUCACAAAAAAGACUUCAACGGGUUUCACAGUGACCAACAGACCCUGCCAGUGGGGUCUCCUAGUCUUCAGGGUAUGGCAGGUAAGCUGUGAGAAAUCCUAGUGGUCAUCACAGGCUUUCUCUGGGCAUUCUGUGAUCACUACUGCCUCAGCAGGGAGCAGCAAGGGCUGUGUGCUGGCACGUCGGCUGCUCCAAUUUGUAGCCCAGCAUAUAAUUCCAAAUGUAGCUUGUCAGCAGUUUGCACUAAGAAACUUCUCUGAGGCUGGAGUACACUCUCCUCCUGGUCAGCUCCUCUAGCACCAUUAUAACCUUUCCAAGCACCAGAGCAGGCUUGCCCAAGGGGCUGGAACUUUUCCUUUGUUUCAAGGCUGAAACUGAUCAUAGACCAUGGAAUAUUUCUGUUAUCUAAAAUAUGCAUCUACGGUUCACUGCUUUCUUUGAGUCAACAGCAAAAUAAUAAUAACAAUAAUAAUAAUUUUAAAAAAUCAACAAAUUUUACUGGAAGCACAUCCACAGUAUUUUUUUAUGUGGCUACUAAGUAUUGAUGCCGGAAAGUUGCUGGAAAUUAAGUGUGUAAUUAAUGCUAAGAACUGCAUUUUGACAGUUUUUAGUCUGAAGAACUCUCUUCCUCUGGUGUUAAAGGAGCCUGCUAGUGAUCUAACUUUUGCAUACGGAAGGAUGUGCAAGCCGCAGAUUGCGAGAGCACUACCCUGCUUAGUCUAGGGAGAGAAUACAGAUUGUUAUUAUUUAGAUGGUAGAGAGGAAAAAUCAUCUCCCCCAGUGUGGUAGUGAUGCUCUUCUGUUAAGGUGCUGUUGGACACCUUUGCUUCAAGGGAGGUAUUGCUGUUCUAUGACUGAUUUGUUGUCCACCAGGACCUGAAGUCAUUCUCCCCAGGGCUGCCUUCCAGCUGGUUGCUCCCCAGCCUCUCCUGGUGCAUGUGUUCCACCGCAGAUGAAGGACUUUGCAUUUCCCUUUGUUGAACUUCAGGAGAUUCUGCUGGCCCAUUCCUGCAGCCUGCCCAGGUCUCUCUAGAAUCAGACCCACAGUUACACGCCAGGCCUAAGAAACUGACAGACUUUCUUCUUCUAGAUAGAAUAGGGCUAAGAAAGUUGAUGGAAGUGUGUAUGGGGUAAGUAGAGAAAAACUGGUUGUCGAUGACACUCCUUAUUCUGAACACUUAAAGCCUUAGCUGCGCUGUUCUAAGCAUCGCUGUUUGAUUAUGUAAUGCUUAGGGGGUUGUUUCUGCUUUUGGACUGGGUAGACAAAAACUUUACACUGUGAGAAAAGCCAGAAAGGGGCAUGAGAGCAACGCUCAUAGGAAAAUGCAGUCAGUGAUUUUCUUUUAUGUCUAGAAAAUUGUAAAUAACCGUAGCAAUAUCUGUUCUGCCUUUGCACAGCUAUGCACAAAAAGCUCACUGGGACCACUCACAUCAUUUUCAGUCGUUAUCAGCCAUAGCCAGUGGCAGAGAGUAUCUGCAACAUGCGUGCUUUGCAACAUCUUCAAAUGCAGGCAUCUGUAAACUGAGAUUCCCUUUCUGAAAGCUGGUAUGUGAUUAAAGCAUGGUUGUUGGAAUGUCUCUGACUGCUUUAAAGUAAUCUAAAGGCUCGUAUAAUGGAUUAAAAAGAUUCCUUUUGUGUUCGAACAAAUACACAUGAUAUUGAGAAGCAUUUUCCUGACUGCUCUAGAGUGCAGUAAGCAAGAGAGAAACACUUCACUAUGCUUGCUAUACAAGGAGUCCAGAAUGGUGACAGCAGAGGUAAAUGCCUAUGCUGUAGACAUAGAUGUGCAAGAAGUGAAGUUAGAUUAAUCUACUACAUAACCACAGACAAGCCAAUUACUUACUAUCUCAGGCUAGGGCCACAUUCCAAAAUUUUGCCUGUGUUAAUGACAGGAAGCAGUGCUUUACUGUCCCUGGACACAGGGGCCUGGGCACCCUGCUCUGGGUGGCACCAAAGGGGCAGUUGUUGGACCAGAUGGACCAGAGGUACUUCCAACCUCAGCCAGUCUGUGAUCCUGUGACAAACGUGUUCUGGUUGUGUCCUCAACUAAAUUACACCUGCCAACUUUGCCAUGUAUGUGCAAUUCUGAAGUGCAAGAAAACUUGCAAAGUUUACUAACAGUUUAUGCUGUUAAAGAAGAUGCCUUACAUGUAUCAGUGAGAGUCCUUUGUGCUGGUGUACACUGUGCACAGCACUGUGCUUUCUGUAGAAAAACUUGGACGUCAACACCUUCGCAGAGCUGGUACAACAACAAACAAGUUCAUGUCAACAGAACAUUCUGUGAGGCACAGUGUGUAUUUGUAGAACUAAAGACCUUCAGCAACAAAGGUAUUUUCUGGGAUAGAAGUUACAACUGAGACCACGGUGAUCUCAACAGUAGUUUUUGCAACCGGCGUGGCCUUUCAUGAAGACUUUCUGGCAGUUUACUCUGAUGGGACCCUCCCAGAAGAGCAACAUUGGUACACACACGCUCACAUGAAAGGACCCAAUCUUUAAGGCAUUAACCAAACCUUCCUGGCGCUGCAGGGCUGAGUUUCACAGAGUAAAUGCAAAGGCCACAAAGGGAAGCUAUUGAGAAAAUGGGUCAUUCACUACUCUUUUAAAUAAAAUGAUUUGACGUUUGAUGUCCCUGAAGUCUAUGCCACUUAGCCAACAUAUAUGUAAAGUGUACAUUUAUGUGUAUGUAUCUGCAAGUUUGUGUGCCUACACAUGUAUGUACAUACAGUUUGGUUACUUCAUUUUCCUCGACCAAGGGAAAGGAGUAGCUGAACUGUAGCAGUUAUUGCAGCGUAGAGGAACUUUCAGAACAACGUGAUUAUACAAGCUAAGUGGAGUUUUCCUUUUUGACAGUGUGGUAAUUAAGAAAUACCCAUAUGGUGAUCUGGGGAAUCCCAUUCCCUGACUACAGACCGCUGUGAAGCAGUCUGGAGUUUCACAUGUUGUGUGACAAUUAUGAAAUAACUGUGAAUUACUAUAUAAUAUAAAGGGGCACAAUCAGUCAAACGACAGAUGAGUUGACUGCAGUGAUGGCAUAUGCAAAAGCAGCUGCAUAAUGUUCUCUUUUACCCACAAGUACGGUGAAAAAACUUAAUGUAAUGUCAUGAAGUUCUGCAGCCCCAUGUUAGCUCUCUUGAAUUAUGAACUGUUCCACGCUUGUGCCUUUAAACUGUAGAUUUCAGACAUGCUUAUGUGUGGGGGUAAUAAAGAGAUUCGUUUCAA